This 482-nucleotide ribosomal RNA is filed under the name uncultured bacterium. Its description in RNAcentral is "partial 16S ribosomal RNA". It matches the Rfam family "Bacterial small subunit ribosomal RNA", at positions 30 to 507 of the family's 1533-position model. The record is from RNAcentral.
AUUGAACGCUGGCGGCAUGCCUUACACAUGCAAGUCGAACGGUAACGGGCCUUCGGGUGCCGACGAGUGGCGAACGGGUGAGUAAUACAUCGGAACGUGCCCGAUCGUGGGGGAUAACGAGGCGAAAGCUUUGCUAAUACCGCAUACGAUCUACGGAUGAAAGCAGGGGACCGCAAGGCCUUGCGCGGACGGAGCGGCCGAUGGCAGAUUAGGUAGUUGGUGGGAUAAAAGCUUACCAAGCCGACGAUCUGUAGCUGGUCUGAGAGGAUGAUCAGCCACACUGGGACUGAGACACGGCCCAGACUCCUACGGGAGGCAGCAGUGGGGAAUUUUGGACAAUGGGCGCAAGCCUGAUCCAGCCAUGCCGCGUGCAGGAUGAAGGCCUUCGGGUUGUAAAUUGCUUUUGUACGGAACGAAAAGCCUUCUUUUAAUACAGGAGGGUCAUGACGGUACCGUAAGAAUAAGCACCGGCUAACUACGUG